AGUGCAGGGAUUGUGUGUAUCAGGGCUGUGCUGAAUUCAAUGCACUCUUCUGAAAGAUUUCCCUGCAAGAUUACUAUGAGAAAAUGGGCAGUUGUGGUUCAUUUUUCCUGUUGAUAAUCUCAACAAUCAUUUUCCCUACAUUU
Molecule: small nucleolar RNA, 143 nt
Organism: Arachis stenosperma
Lineage: Eukaryota; Viridiplantae; Streptophyta; Magnoliopsida; Fabales; Fabaceae
Product: small nucleolar RNA snoR135
Exons: 1
Source: RefSeq, a predicted model, not a curated record